CCUACGGGUGGCAGCAGUGGGGAAUAUUGCGCAAUGGGCGAAAGCCUGACGCAGCGACGCCGCGUGAGGGAUGAAGGUCUUCGGAUCGUAAACCUCUGUCAGCAGGGAAGAACGGUCACUGUGCUAAUCAGCAGUGAAUUGACGGUACCUGCAAAGGAAGCACCGGCUAACUCCGUGCCAGCAGCCGCGGUAAUACGGAGGGUGCGAGCGGUAAUCGGAAUUACUGGGCGUAAAGCGCUCGUAGGCGGUAUGUCAAGUCAAGGGUGAAAUCCCCGCGCUCAACGUGGGAACUGCCUUUGAAACUGGCAAACUGGAGUGUGUGAGAGGAAAGUGGAAUGCCAGGUGUAGGGGUGAAAUGCGUAGAUAUCAGGAGGAACAUCAGUGGCGAAGGCGACUAUCUGGCACAUAACUGACGCUGAGGAGCGAAAGCGUGGGUAGCAAACAGGAUUAGAUACCCCAGUAGUC
Molecule: ribosomal RNA, 465 nt
Filed under: uncultured bacterium
Lineage: Bacteria
Description: partial 16S ribosomal RNA
Rfam family: Bacterial small subunit ribosomal RNA
Source: RNAcentral